This 285-nucleotide unclassified non-coding RNA is filed under the name uncultured fungus. RNAcentral's name for it is "partial contains small subunit ribosomal RNA, internal transcribed spacer 1, and 5.8S ribosomal RNA". The stretch from base 1 to 73 matches the Rfam family "Eukaryotic small subunit ribosomal RNA", at positions 1759 to 1831 of the family's 1831-position model. Lineage: Eukaryota; Fungi. The record is from RNAcentral.
UCAAACUUGGUCAUUUAGAGGAAGUAAAAGUCGUAACAAGGUCUCCGUUGGUGAACCAGCGGAGGGAUCAUUACUGAAUGUUACUACAACUAAACCCUUGUGAACUUUGUUAUGUGGCUGCCUCGGCAGGUAACCCCAGGGCGGGGUUUUGAGCCUUUACAGGCACCUGCCAGUGGUAGACAAUUUUUCAAACUCUGAUUUUAUUGAGCUUCUGAGUGUCUCAAAAAAUAAAUCAAAACUUUCAACAACGGAUCUCUUGGUUCUGGCAUCGAUGAAGAACGCAGC